UGCUUCUUCUUCCUCUUCUUCU
RNAcentral lists this small RNA (22 nucleotides) under Arabidopsis thaliana (thale cress). RNAcentral describes it as "ATSL130570". Lineage: Eukaryota; Viridiplantae; Streptophyta; Magnoliopsida; Brassicales; Brassicaceae. The record is from RNAcentral.